This 510-nucleotide long non-coding RNA is filed under the name Callithrix jacchus (white-tufted-ear marmoset). Its description in RNAcentral is "lncRNA (ENSCJAG00000083487.1)". Lineage: Eukaryota; Metazoa; Chordata; Mammalia; Primates; Cebidae. The record is from RNAcentral.
CUUUCAUUCACCUUUUCCAGACUUCGCAAUGAGUUGAAUUGUGUUCACAAAGGAUUUUUCCUUCCUUUUGUUAUCCUUUAUGGGGUGAACCAGGUCCCUUCUGUACCCCAGUUCAAAUACUCAUCUCCAAUGGGGAAGGUCCAAGCCUCUAUCACUGAUGCAGGCUUUCACUUAAUUAUUAUGAAUGACUGGAUGAUGGAUUCAUACAUAUAUUUUUUGAGUACUAACCAUGUGGUAUGCAUCAGGCUGGGUCCUGGGGACAGUGGAAAAUAAAGAAGACCCAGUUGGUACCUGCCAUCCUGGAACUUGGAGUCCAGUGAGGACAAUGGAUGAUCCACAAGCAGUUCACACAAAACAGUCAGAUUCAGACAAUCCAGUGGAGCACUCUGAAGGUUAGAGGAAGUUGUCCAAUAGAAUUUUCUGGAAUUAUGGAAAUAUUCUAUUUUUUUGUAUCCAGUAUCUAGUCACAUGUGGCUAUUGAGCACUGGAAAUGUGGCUAAUGCAACCGAG